GAAAAGUAAGGGUAGGGAAGACCGGUCAGGAGCUUCUAACUUUAUGGUAACUUUUCG
This 57-nucleotide transfer RNA is filed under the name Cylisticus convexus. Its description in RNAcentral is "tRNA-Ser". The record is from RNAcentral. Lineage: Eukaryota; Metazoa; Arthropoda; Malacostraca; Isopoda; Cylisticidae.